UACGUAGGGCGCAAGCGUUGUCCGGAAUUAUUGGGCGUAAAGAGCUCGUAGGCGGUUCAGUAAGUCGGGUGUGAAAACUUUGGGCUCAACCCAAAGCGUGCAUCCGAUACUGCUGUGACUGGAGUUCGGUAGGGGAGCGGGGAAUUCCUAGUGUAGCGGUGAAAUGCGCAGAUAUUAGGAGGAACACCGGUGGCGAAGGCGCCGCUCUGGGCCGAUACUGACGCUGAGGAGCGAAAGCGUGGGUAGCAAACAGG
RNAcentral lists this ribosomal RNA (254 nucleotides) under uncultured bacterium. RNAcentral describes it as "partial 16S ribosomal RNA". It matches the Rfam family "Bacterial small subunit ribosomal RNA", at positions 524 to 776 of the family's 1533-position model. The record is from RNAcentral.